CCUACGGGUGGCUGCAGUGGGGAAUAUUGCGCAAUGGGCGAAAGCCUGACGCAGCGACGCCGCGUGAGGGAUGAAGGUCUUCGGAUCGUAAACCUCUGUCAGCAGGGAAGAACGGUCACUGUGCUAAUCAGCAGUGAAUUGACGGUACCUGCAAAGGAAGCACCGGCUAACUCCGUGCCAGCAGCCGCGGUAAUACGUAGGUGGCGAGCGUUAUCCGGAAUGAUUGGGCGUAAAGGGUGCGCAGGCGGUCCUGGAAGUCUGGAGUGAAACGGAUGAGCUCAACUCAUGCAUGGCUUCGGAUACUGGAGGACUGGAGAGCAGGAGAGGGCGGUGGAACGCCAUGUGUAGCGGUAAAAUGCGUAGAUAUAUGGAAGAACACCAGUGGCGAAGGCGGCCGCCUGGCCUGUUGCUGACGCUGAGGCACGAAAGCGUGGGGAGCAAAUAGGAUUAGAUACCCUAGUAGUC
This 465-nucleotide ribosomal RNA is filed under the name uncultured bacterium. RNAcentral's name for it is "partial 16S ribosomal RNA". It matches the Rfam family "Bacterial small subunit ribosomal RNA", at positions 338 to 795 of the family's 1533-position model. The record is from RNAcentral.